Molecule: small RNA, 521 nt
Filed under: Pseudo-nitzschia cf. arenysensis CBA161
Lineage: Eukaryota; Bacillariophyta; Bacillariophyceae; Bacillariales; Bacillariaceae
Description: eukaryotic LSU rRNA
Rfam family: Eukaryotic large subunit ribosomal RNA
Source: RNAcentral
AUUAAGCGGAGGAAAAGAAACUAACUAGGAUUCCCUCAGUAACGGCGAGUGAAGCGGGACUAGCUCAGGAUGUGAAUCUGCGCUGUAUGGCGCCGAAUUGUGGUCUAUAGACUUUGACGUUAUCUGCCGGGCCAAGUUCCUUGGAAAAGGACAGCUGAGAGGGUGAGACUCCCGUCCGCCUGGUAGAGUGAGUCGUUGUCAACGAGUCGAGUUGUUUGGGAUUGCAGCUCUAAUUUGGUGGUAAAUUCCAUCUAAAGCUAAAUAUUGGUGGGAGACCGAUAGCGUACAAGUACCGUGAGGGAAAGAUGCAAAGAACUUUGAAAAGAGAGUUAAAGAGUACCUGAAAUUGCUGAAACGGAAGCGAAGGAAACCAGUGUUUGUUGGUUCAUAUUUCCCUGGCCACUUGUGGUUUGGGCGCUGUGAGCUUGCGUGGGUUUGCUUUGGUUGAUCCCUUUGGAAGAGCGCAGUCAGAGUUGAUGUCUGUUGCUAGCACUGGGUUUGACUAAUGCAGACGAAAUGGU